UCUUCUCCAUUUAUUUUCAUAUCUCUCUCUCUCUCCCUCUCUCCAUUAGUCGGGCAUUCAUCUCCAUGGAGCUCAAGACUCAAGAGUACUACCACCUAGCUAACUAUAAAGGUAUUGUAAGGUUACUUAAUUCUCUGCCGCUCUCUUGCUCUCUCCCCAUCUAUAUACCUGUCCACACCUCAAGAUCCAACUAUGCCAGCACCACCACGAUUCCUCUCUAUAUCUAGGGUUUCUUGCCUCUCCCUCUCUCUUCCUCCCUCGUUCUAGCUUAGCCCAGAGCCUUUGCCUUAUAUAUAGGUAGCCGCCACCUCCCUUGUUUUCGUGGAGGUAGCCGCCCAUGCCAGCCAAUCGAUCUUAACCUAGCUGCCUACUUCUCUUCUUUGAUCUACUCCGUCCAUUGAUUCAUCGAUCUGUUUAUAUAGAGAAUUUCCCCAGCCAGCCCCUCUCCCUUCCCAUACAGGCUUGUCUUCUUCGCCUCCGGCGCCGGUGUAUGGCAUAAAGUAGAUAGAUAUGACAAGAUCGAUUCGGCCGGCCGGUUCCGGUUUCUUUUUUGUUUAAUUAGGAUAAUUCCUUUCCAUAUAUACAUAUACCUUUCUCCUCAUCUUUGAUCCAUCACUUCGCCUGCAUACAUAGAUGUGGAAUCCAUAUCCUCAUCUCCAUCUUCUUCUUAAUCCUUCUCCACUUCUAUACCAUCUAUCUCGCAAUGGCUGUAUGAGGAUCAGAGAUCGCAGUUGGCCGUUGCAGGUGCAGCACCACCAAGAUUCACAUCGGAUUCGACCUCUUCGUGUCGUAAAUGAGAUGAGAAUCUUGAUGAUGCUGCAUCAGCAACCGCUCGGCUCAUCGUCAACCGGCUCGUCCACAAUCAUCUGACGUCUGCUGCUGCAGAUGCCCCGUCCACCUGGUAGUUGAGCUCCCAGCCUAGCUCCCAUCGAUCUCUUAAUUUCCUUUUUUUUUUAUGUGGUACUUCUCGCAACCAUUUUAUUUUUUAGCUGCAAAUGUUGGGAAAAAUUGACUGAAGUUUGACAAAAACGAUACUACUGCAUCAGCCAAUUAAUAAUGUAAUUUUCUUCGCUGCUUGGUUAUUUCUUUCAACUUAAGUGUAGCUAGCAAAAAAAAUCUUAAUUCUUUCCAGAGGUGCUAGUACUAAGUAUACAUAACUGUUCUGCACAAACUUGAUCGAGGGGAUCAAUAAUUAUAUAUAUACAUUCAUGAUUUGACUAAGUGGUGCAUGCAUAUGCCGUGAUUUUAUGAUAUUUACAAGUAGUGUCAUUUUGUUUGGAAGAUUCCUCAGUGACAAGUAAGCUCCUCAGUCUAUUGGCAACAUGUGCACACUUGUAACAUGGACGCUAGCUACCUUUCCAGCUUGUGACAAGUAAGCUCUCUGCACUUUUGUUGAUUCUAUAUAUGUCGAUCGAGCCGCUAGCUCAUUAAUUUUCUUUUCAUUCGAUAUUAUGUAGUUAUCUAACAAGAAAAUUAAUGAGCCAGUCUUUGGGUUUGCCGGGAGGGGGACAGCAUACAUAUGUACACAAACCUUUGAGUUAAACAUUGUUAGUAAAUCUUUCUGUAUAGUUAAUUAGCCGGCUGAUGUUUCCCUUAAUUGGCCCCUUCAAUUAUUUCCUAACAGCCUCUGGUUGACGCCGACACGCUUUAAUUUAUGCAUACAUAUGCGAUCCCCAUCAUCAGUUCGAGACGGUGUGUGCCACUCUAGCAGUACAGCUCCAUCAUUCAUCUAUAUUCUCUACUGCAUGUACACCACACAAGCAUGUACACCUUGCAUUCUAGCUAUUUCUUUGCUAAAAGGGGGGACAUGUCAAAGGAAGUCACACGUGCACACUUUGAGCUCUACAUGGCCAGCAGCUCGAGUAUAUGCUUGCUGUUUCAAUAUUCUCCUCUGGUGGUACUACCUGUAUCUCCUCUUGUGCAUUUCAAAAUCUUUCCCUGUCAGUGAUAUGUAGGACGCUAUCAUGUACUUGUUCGUUUAGGAAAACACCAUGUAGGCACUACCAGUCGACCAAGAUCUGUACUUCUGGUGAUUAAUUAACUGACCACCAAUGUAUCUGAUCUAUGUCUGUCCUUGAUCAUUGGAUACCGGCGGUUAACUGUUCAUGUCAAUGACAGUAAAUUAUUGCAUAUGGUUUCCAUAAUGCAAUCGAUCGAUGGAAGAAACUCGUUGAUCUUUUCAUACUGAUGUGUGGUGUGCGUGUUGUGAAGAAACCAUGGCCACAAAGUGCAAUCCAAGCAUCGAAACGAAUGGAAGCACAUGAUGCAUGCAUCAAGAACUACAGUUGGCCCUGCCGGCCGGAAGCUCUGCAGAAAAAUCUCACACCAUCGAUCGCUGGAUGGUUCAAUUAAGUGGACCAUUGCGCAUGCAGGGGAGGUAGCUAGGGGCCGGGUGGGCAAUACGUAGUACAUUGCUAUUAUUGUGCCCGACGAAGGGGACCAAUGUGGUGCACUGCAGAUGCAGGAGAGGGCCUUGCAGAAUGGUGUGGCCGGCCGGUACAACUGUCUCAUCAGUCAUCAAAGGAUCAAGGCUGCAACCGGCCAAGUGGCCAACUACAUGCAGGUCAGUGCACCUAGACUCUCUGCUUAAUUACAUCUUCAUCUCAGUUUUCAAAAACUAACAUUGAUAUUGAGCCCAGAUUAAUUAGAUGUAUAUAUCAGCUUAAGAUCCUAGAAAAAUAUGGAUGGAUGCUUGGUAACUAGCUAUCUACAACUGUGUACAUGUAUAGCUUGAUUGAUCCAUCUCUCCUCGAUCUCCUUUAUCUGAAAAGUACUGCCAUGUUGACUGAUCUAUGUUAGUUUUUCUUUCAGUGCUUGUCUGCUAAUUAUUUGUAAGGUAAGCCAAGUAGAAAGAAAUCAAGUGAACAACUUGUUGAUUGAGUACAAAGUUGUAAUAUUUGGGCAGCUGCUUAAUAUUGCACUGUCUACGUACAUGUAUUGCUUGAUUAAUUCAUGUCUCUUCUCCUUUAUCUAAAAA
Molecule: long non-coding RNA, 2977 nt
Organism: Lolium perenne
Lineage: Eukaryota; Viridiplantae; Streptophyta; Magnoliopsida; Poales; Poaceae
Source: RefSeq, a predicted model, not a curated record